Molecule: ribosomal RNA, 868 nt
Filed under: uncultured Gammaproteobacteria bacterium
Lineage: Bacteria; Pseudomonadati; Pseudomonadota; Gammaproteobacteria
Description: bacterial SSU rRNA
Rfam family: Bacterial small subunit ribosomal RNA
Source: RNAcentral
AGGGUUUGAUCAUGGCUCAGAUUGAACGCUGGCGGCAGGCCUAACACAUGCAAGUCGAGCGGUAGAGAGAAGCUUGCUUCUCUUGAGAGCGGCGGACGGGUGAGUAAUGCCUAGGAAUCUGCCUGGUAGUGGGGGAUAACGUUCGGAAACGGACGCUAAUACCGCAUACGUCCUACGGGAGAAAGCAGGGGACCUUCGGGCCUUGCGCUAUCAGAUGAGCCUAGGUCGGAUUAGCUAGUUGGUGAGGUAAUGGCUCACCAAGGCGACGAUCCGUAACUGGUCUGAGAGGAUGAUCAGUCACACUGGAACUGAGACACGGUCCAGACUCCUACGGGAGGCAGCAGUGGGGAAUAUUGGACAAUGGGCGAAAGCCUGAUCCAGCCAUGCCGCGUGUGUGAAGAAGGUCUUCGGAUUGUAAAGCACUUUAAGUUGGGAGGAAGGGUUGUAGAUUAAUACUCUGCAAUUUUGACGUUACCGACAGAAUAAGCACCGGCUAACUCUGUGCCAGCAGCCGCGGUAAUACAGAGGGUGCAAGCGUUAAUCGGAAUUACUGGGCGUAAAGCGCGCGUAGGUGGUUUGUUAAGUUGGAUGUGAAAUCCCCGGGCUCAACCUGGGAACUGCAUUCAAAACUGACUGACUAGAGUAUGGUAGAGGGUGGUGGAAUUUCCUGUGUAGCGGUGAAAUGCGUAGAUAUAGGAAGGAACACCAGUGGCGAAGGCGACCACCUGGACUAAUACUGACACUGAGUGCGAAGCGUGGGGAGCAAACAGGAUUAGAUACCCUGGUAGUCACGCGUAACGAUGUCAACUAGCGUGGAGCUUGAGCUUUAGUGGCGCAGCUACGCAUAGUGACGCUGGGGAGUACGGCG